UUUUUAGGGACUUGAACAGACAUAAAUCCGAUUAUGGGUCAAAAAAAAAAAAAAAAAAAAAAAAAAAAGGCUGUGGAAUAAACAUUUCUCUUUAUUCUCCUCUUACAAGUGGUUUUCUUAUUCUAUUAAACACUAAUGCAGAUCAAAAUCUAGUGUUGCAAUGGAUUUAAAUGGGGAAGCAUUACUAUAUGCUUCCAUAAAAUGAGUUGUCUUCAAAAGAUAUUACUGAGUAGAAAUUGAUAAACAGACUUUUUUUUUUUUUUUUUUUUUUUUUUAAUAAGAAUUUAAUCCUUCUUUUGGGAAGACUGAAUAACAUAGGGUGGUUCUGUACAGCUGCUGUCACAAAGCAAAGAACAAAACACGUCAGACUACAGAUUGCUGUUGCUCUGCUCACGACAGCAGUAGAUAAAAUGAUGGCUGGGCACAGACAUUACAAUUUAGCAACAUGAACUGCUUCUUCUCUGAUGGAGGAUCAGGCUGUUCUGGCAGAAGGCUGUGAACUCUUCUGUGACACCAAACUUGUCCAUGUUCCCACAUUCCUGUGGGGAGGAAGAGGACCCAGCUCCAGUCCUGUCCUGCUCCUGCCCCCAGGCUUUGCAAAAAGCCCAGAGAGCCUUGCACAAGAUUACGUAAGAGGGUCAGCCUGUAUCUUCUAAUCCAUCACCUAUACCCUAAUUAUGUUCCCCUGCAAAAGUUUUCUAAAGAACCAAAUAUUUGCUUUCUUGCCAUUUUCAGGUAAUU
Molecule: long non-coding RNA, 741 nt
Organism: Phasianus colchicus (ring-necked pheasant)
Lineage: Eukaryota; Metazoa; Chordata; Aves; Galliformes; Phasianidae
Source: Ensembl